Anguilla anguilla (European eel) is the source of this 498-nucleotide long non-coding RNA. RefSeq lists it as uncharacterized. The record is from RefSeq and is a predicted model, not a curated record. The transcript is spliced from 3 exons. Lineage: Eukaryota; Metazoa; Chordata; Actinopteri; Anguilliformes; Anguillidae.
UUCAAUUUUUAUUCGGCUCGUGUUCCACACCAUCAAGCCUGUCCCCAGUGAGAGCAAGAUUCUCACUAUGGCCCACACUCUCUUGGAUGCUCGACUAUGGCGGGUGAAUGCUCCAGUGAGAGUGCGACGCAGUAUAACGCAGUUGAAUGAUCCUGUUGCUGUGCAGGAUAUUACUUAUCAGAUACUAUCCAACAGUUCCUUUGCCUUGGCACUGCGAUAUCAGAUAAACAACGUGAGCAUGCCAGAACUCACUGAACUCAGGACCGAGACGUACAAACUCAUCCAGGACUCCAUUAACAACCUGCUGAACCAAAUUCUGACACAACCUGAUGCAAAUCCUUCCAUCUUUCCACAAGCAAGUUUUACGUAAGUCCCAAACCUUGUAUGACUUCAUGAUGAUUAAAAAGAAAACUGUUCUGACAAAUAUGAAUGGAGGCAAUUUGAAAAUGAGCGCAUAGCAAGUUUGCUCAGCAAACACUUUCUGCAUCCAACAAAAGG